GACGAACGCUGGCGGCGUGCUUAACACAUGCAAGUCGAACGGGAUUUAGUAGACAGAAGCCUCGGCUAAAGAUUACUAAUGAGAGUGGCGAACGGGUGAGUAACGCGUGAGCAACCUGCCUAUGACAGUGGGAUAGCCUCGAGAAACCGGGAUUAAUACCGCAUAAAAUCGUAGAAACACAUGUUUUAACGGUCAAAGAUUUAUCGGUCAUAGAUGGGCUCGCGUCUGAUUAGCUAGUUGGUGAGAUAACAGCCCACCAAGGCGACGAUCAGUAGCCGGUCUGAGAGGAUGAACGGCCACAUUGGAACUGAGACACGGUCCAAACUCCUACGGGAGGCAGCAGUGGGGAAUAUUGCACAAUGGGGGAAACCCUGAUGCAGCGACGCCGCGUGAACGAAGAAGGUAUUCGUAUCGUAAAGUUCUGUCCUAUGGGAAGAUAAUGACAGUACCAUAGAAGAAAGCUCCGGCUAAAUACGUG
Molecule: ribosomal RNA, 478 nt
Filed under: uncultured bacterium
Lineage: Bacteria
Description: partial 16S ribosomal RNA
Rfam family: Bacterial small subunit ribosomal RNA
Source: RNAcentral